Molecule: long non-coding RNA, 3522 nt
Organism: Triticum dicoccoides
Lineage: Eukaryota; Viridiplantae; Streptophyta; Magnoliopsida; Poales; Poaceae
Exons: 10
Source: RefSeq, a predicted model, not a curated record
AAAAAAACCAGCCCUCAGGAAACAUCGCUCAUCUCGAUCUCCCGUCGAAAAGAAAAACGCAGGGACGAGGCACUCCUGUCCCCUAGCCCCUCGCAUGCUAGGGUUCCUCACGCCGCCGUCGACGCCGCCGCCGCAUGGGUGUUCGUCGACUGGCCCUGCCUCCGGCCGCCGCCACCGCAGCCGCCCACCUUCAUCCUCUCCCCAACCCCGUCGGCCUCCAAUCCACCCCACUCCUCCGCGGGUGCCACCAAACCAUCGCCGCCCUCUCCCCGCACCCGUACCCAAGGAAUCAGCCGGCGGCCAGAUCCGCCCCUCCACUCACCCAACUCUCCCUCCGCCGCCGCGGACCUAGCAGGGAAGACGCGGACGAGAUCCCAAGUCGCUGCUCCUCCUCUCCCGGGAUGCAGCCGCCGCCGCCGAACCAGGGAGACGCCGGCGACCAUCGCCGCCGUCGUGGAUCACCAUGACGCCGCCGCCUGCACCGCCACCGCCGCGGUGUCGCGGCUGGCAUUGGCGAAUCCAUUCCCAGCGGCGGCGGCUUCCGGCGAGGAGGCGAGCGAGCUCGGGGAGCUCCGGCGGGGGCUUGUCGCCGGUGAGGCGAGGCCAAGGCGGCGGCGCGCGGGCGCGAGGAGGCGGGGUCGAGGAGGCGCAGGAGGACGCCGGCCGGUGGGGCUCCGGCGGGGGCUUGGUGAACGGCGUUGUGCUUGCGCGCGAGACCCGUGUCUGAUUUGGAAAGAAUCAAUCCGGUGAAGAAGAAGGCCAAUGCAAUUGCUCUCUAGCUAGGCACUGGAGUAUCUGCACCCCCAAUGGAAUGCUACGAAUUGCUGCUGGUACUGAACAUUGACAGGCAAGCAACAACAAACAGACUUUGCUGUUUUCAGUCUACUCAGAUAUUUGUUGGGCAUCACCGAGGAACGCCAGCAAAGGCGUGAAGAAAUACUCACAAUCAGUGUGACAUGUCGUGUGAGAUGAAGGUGGCAAACCAUCCAAACUUUAAGCCAAGCAUGUGGUGGAUCCGCCAUGGAUGAUGGAUGGACCGAUAAUUACGUCGCGGAUCACCGGGACAUGACUAUCGCAGAUCACCAGGACACCGCCGGCGGCGGCGCCUCGGAUACCGGCGACCGGCGGUGAUCUGAGACCAACGAGUCAGCACCACAUCCCUGGUACUUCCCUUCCCCAUCCGCCAACCCUCUACCCUCCCCCUCUACAAAGGCCCGUGCGGCCCUGUCCGUCCGACCUCGACGAACACGACCAAGGAUGGAUGUGCAUCCCGACGCCUCUCUUCUCCAUUGAUCCCCCAUCUCCUCAAGGUGAAUCUUCUCCACAGGGAGGAUCUGACGACGCCGAACGCAGCCAUGGAGCACCAGGAGCACGCGGAGACGAUGUGGGAGUGGGCGGUCUCCGAGGUUGCUAUUACGGGAUUACCUGAUGUUGCUUCAUGUCUGUUAUAUCUUUCAAUAUUUACAGAAACUUCCAAAACUAACACCAGUUAUUGGUGGUUUACACCGAUAGUUUCCAGACCUUUAUCGCAAGAUGGACGAACUUGGCAUCUCAGCCAGUACUCUACCUCAUCAACAGUUUGAUGUCCCUUUGAAUGAAGUUAGGCCAGCAUCAGAAGGUCCUAGCCUUUUUGAGGAGAUGAAGGUGAAGAAUAUUAAGCCGGAUAACCUCACAUGUUGCCUUCUAAUGACCAGCCAUGCGGCAUUGAACAAGAUAGAUGUUGUUGGAGAAGUUUCAGAAGAAAUGCAAGAGAAGGAUGUAGUUCUAGGGUGGUCUGCAUAUAGCAUGGUUUCUAUCUACCUGAGUGCUGGUUUGGUUUUAAAAAACAGUCCGCUCCGAAGAAACUCGAGGGCCUUGCUUUUAGAAGGUAACAUAAAUAUCUAUAUUGAUCGUUCAUGGUCCUGGGGCUGUUUGUUACCAUGUAAUAUAACAUAGUACUAUGCACAACGACGCGUCAUCACUAAGCUCAACAUCUAAAUAACUUGAAAUGUUGGCUCAGAGUUCUUUUACAACAUAAAAAUGAUUUUAUUUCUCCCGAUGCAUUGUUAUUUAGGCUUCAUUAUUCUGCAAUUUCUGUCAAAGUACUAAACAUGAAAUAUAUAAUUUGGUAAUGAACCGCAAAAUAUAUAUAUGUCCCCUGUUUUGUUAUUUAGGCUUCAUUAUUCUACAAAAUAUAUUUAUUACUUUGGUUACUCAGAUUACCACAAAAUAUAUAAGUUGUUUAGGCUUAUAUUUUGUUAUUAUUCUACAAAAUAUAUAAGUUGUUUAGGCAUAUACAAUAACUUACCGAUAAAUAUAUUUUGUUAUUUAGGCUUCAUUAUUCUACAAUUUCUGGCAAAUCAAUAAACAUGCCAUACAUAAGUUGUUUUUGAACCCCAAAAAAUAUAUAUAUUUGUCCCCUGUUGCAACGUACAACCUCUUUUCCUUUAUUUCCUUACUUAAUAUUAAAGGGAGGUGAGUUUCUUUAAAAAGUUUACAUUGUUUAUAAAAUUUUAAAACCAUGGGAAAGUAGUGCAUCAGGGAAGGUUCACCACUAGACCCCCCUGAUUGCAACGAAACAUCCUUUAUGUUGGAUUUUUUGGUAAUUAUGUAUUUAACAAAGCUCUCGUGUUUUGCUGGCGCAUGCCGUUUGUUCCUCUACAAGUGCCACUUCGCUGCAACCACUCUGUCAUUCAUGAAGAAUGUGAAGGCAAGGCUCCAUUUAAGGGAACGCGGCUAGCAACUAGACCCUCUAGGUGGACGCGAUCUUGAGCAGCGAAGAGCAGAUGCUCCGACAAGGCGAGCGUGGUUGCAGGCGACUGUUACACAUGUCGAGUUUGCUGACAAGAUUUCUGUCUCGGAAGGCGAGCGCGAGGCCACCACAAGGUGGAUUGACGGAUUGCUCUAAAAUUGUUGUACGUGCAGGAGCAGAGCUGAGCUCGCUGUAGGCGGUGGAGGCGCACACGUUCCCACACCAGUUUGCCAAGAUGAAGAAGAAAGUUGGCCUCACGCCCUCUGCCAUUAUAUCUGCGAGGGCGUCUGACAGUUCGGUGCUCAAAUCAAUUGAUGCCAACAGACCAGUGAGGCGCAAUAACUGAAUGCAGGCGCAAGAACACUGACUUCAGGAACAGAGCAUUCGCGUUCCUGUUUGCUGACGGGGCCAACGACGAGUUGAGCUCGCUGUAGGCGAUGGAGGCGCACGCGUUCCCGCACCAGUUCGCUGAGAUGAAGAAAGUUGGCCUCGCGCCCGCUCCCAUUAUCUCUGCGAGGGCCUCUAACACUUCGGUUCUCAAAUCAAUUGACGCCAACAGACCAGUGAGGUCCAAUUACCCCCUGAUUUCGACGCGGUUGUUAGAGAAUUUUUUGCAUUAAUUUCCUCAUUUGUGCAACAUGUGUAAUUCUGCAUAUGAGCACCGAAAUCUGUGAGUGAGGUUUACAGCAGUUUGAUGAUCUUAUGUUUCUUGCAGGCGCAAAAACUUUAUAUUUGUUGCUGUCAAAGAAUGAGAGACAACCAUUAUCAUUGCACUGAAUGCAACUUGUAAA